This 72-nucleotide transfer RNA is filed under the name Bos taurus (domestic cattle). It matches the Rfam family "tRNA". From Rfam's summary of the family: Transfer RNA (tRNA) molecules are approximately 80 nucleotides in length. RNAcentral also lists the same sequence under 5 other names. The record is from Rfam by way of RNAcentral. Lineage: Eukaryota; Metazoa; Chordata; Mammalia; Artiodactyla; Bovidae.
CCCUUCCUGGUCUAGCAGCUAAGAUUCCUGCUUUUCACCCAGGCUACCCAGGUUCAAUUCCUGGGCAGGGAA